Phragmites australis (common reed) is the source of this 959-nucleotide long non-coding RNA. RefSeq lists it as uncharacterized. The record is from RefSeq and is a predicted model, not a curated record. NCBI's taxonomy places the organism in Eukaryota, Viridiplantae, Streptophyta, Magnoliopsida, Poales, Poaceae. The transcript is spliced from 3 exons.
AUUGAAGCGUUGAACAGGUGAGAGGAGGCAGCAGCUAUCGCUAACACAAAAGAACCGGUGCCUGUGUCCUGCUUUCCUUCCCCACCCGCCCCGUGCCACCGAAGCAGGAGCAGCAGCAGCAUCACCGAUGGCGUCGGCCGAGGGCGAGAAGAAGAUGAUCACUCUCAAGAGCUCCGACGGUGAGGAGUUUGAGGUGGAGGAGGCGGUGGCUAUGGAGUCGCAAACCAUCCGCCACAUGAUCGAGGACGACUGCGCUGACAGCGGCCAACCAAAAUUCUUCGGUUCAAGUGUGGGUGUUCUGGUACAGAAUAUCAAGUCUAAUUCCUCGUCUCGUUCCAUCUCUCUCCCUCCUCCCCCCUCCCUCUCUACACCCUAGUGCCUCGACCUGAGCGAUCCUGAGAAGGUCUCCGUGCGCUAGGUGGUGGCCGAAGAUUUGGAUUAGGAUGCGGAGGAGAAGAUGGGGCGCAUCUUCGUGGGCGGGCUGUUGUGGAACACCACGGAGCACACGCUCAAGCGCACCUUCGGCCAGUACGGCAAGGUCAUCGAGGCGUAGGUAUAACAACACUUCUGCCCUACGGUGAUGCGUGUGAUUUGGUGGGGAGUGAAGGUGUUUUAGUUGUGAUCCGUUGUUUCAGUAUGGUUAGCAUGUAGACGGAUGUGGUAUAUAAUUUCUCUGCAGAAAUUGUUAUGCUUUAGUUAAAUAAGGUUGUUCUGUUGAGAUGAUUAGUAGUAAAUGAAUCUUUUUUGUUCUCCCCUGCUGCAUGAUGGUGAAACUGCUCCUGAUUUUUGUAACUUGUUUUGUUUUAUAGAAUUUUAUUGAUUUACCAGUUGUCUCAAUGGAUAAUACAUACAUGGUCCAGUUACAGUAGUGCUUAGGGAUGAGUCGUAUCUUGUUUACAAUUCAUGUGUUGUUGGAUGGAAGCAGAUAAUUGAAAAGGUCACCGUCACCAUUCUGAUUA